GACGAACGCUGGCGGCGUGCUUAACACAUGCAAGUCGAACGGAAAGGCCCUGCGUUUGUGGGGUGCUCGAGUGGCGAACGGGUGAGUAACACGUGAGUAACCUGCCCCUGACUUUGGGAUAACUUCAGGAAACUGGGGCUAAUACCGGAUAGGAGCUCCUGCUGCAUGGUGGGGGUUGGAAAGUUUCGGCGGUUGGGGAUGGACUCGCGGCUUAUCAGCUUGUUGGUGGGGUAGUGGCUUACCAAGGCUUUGACGGGUAGCCGGCCUGAGAGGGUGACCGGCCACAAUGCGACUGAGAGACGGCCCAGACUGCAACGGGAGGCAGCAGUGGGGAAUAUUGCACAAUGGGCGCAAGCCUGAUGCAGCAACGCCGCGUGCGUGAUGACGGCCUUCGGGUUGUAAACCGCUUUCGCCUGUGACGAAGCGUGAGUGACGGUAAUGGGUGAAGAAGCACCGGCUAACUACGUG
Molecule: ribosomal RNA, 468 nt
Filed under: uncultured bacterium
Lineage: Bacteria
Description: partial 16S ribosomal RNA
Rfam family: Bacterial small subunit ribosomal RNA
Source: RNAcentral